This 447-nucleotide ribosomal RNA is filed under the name uncultured bacterium. Its description in RNAcentral is "bacterial SSU rRNA". It matches the Rfam family "Bacterial small subunit ribosomal RNA", at positions 355 to 825 of the family's 1533-position model. The record is from RNAcentral.
UAGGGAAUAUUGGACAAUGGGCGAAAGCCUGAUCCAGCAAUGCCGCGUGAGUGAUGAAGGCCUUAGGGUUGUAAAGCUCUUUUACCCGGGAUGAUAAUGACAGUACCGGGAGAAUAAGCUCCGGCUAACUCCGUGCCAGCAGCCGCGGUAAUACGGAGGGAGCUAGCGUUGUUCGGAAUUACUGGGCGUAAAGCGCACGUAGGCGGCUAUUCAAGUCAGAGGUGAAAGCCCGGGGCUCAACCCCGGAACUGCCUUUGAAACUAGAUAGCUUGAAUCCAGGAGAGGUGAGUGGAAUUCCGAGUGUAGAGGUGAAAUUCGUAGAUAUUCGGAAGAACACCAGUGGCGAAGGCGGCUCACUGGACUGGUAUUGACGCUGAGGUGCGAAAGCGUGGGGAGCAAACAGGAUUAGAUACCCGCGUAGUCCCUGAGCGGGCUGGCAAGGCGCAU